GACGAACGCUGGCGGCGUGCUUAACACAUGCAAGUCGAACGGAAAGGCCUUUUCGGAGGUACUCGAGUGGCGAACGGGUGAGUAACACGUGGGUGAUCUGCCCUGCACUCUGGGAUAAGCCUGGGAAACUGGGUCUAAUACCGGAUAGGACCGCACUUUAGUGUGUGUGGUGGAAAGUUUUUUCGGUGUAGGAUGAGCCCGCGGCCUAUCAGCUUGUUGGUGGGGUAAUGGCCUACCAAGGCGGCGACGGGUAGCCGGACUGAGAGGUUGGUCGGCCACAUUGGGACUGAGAUACGGCCCAGACUCCUACGGGAGGCAGCAGUGGGGAAUAUUGCACAAUGGGCGCAAGCCUGAUGCAGCGACGCCGCGUGGGGGAUGACGGCCUUCGGGUUGUAAACUCCUUUCGCCAGGGACGAAGCGUUUUGUGACGGUACCUGGAGAAGAAGUACUGGCUAACUACGUG
RNAcentral lists this ribosomal RNA (463 nucleotides) under uncultured bacterium. Its description in RNAcentral is "partial 16S ribosomal RNA". It matches the Rfam family "Bacterial small subunit ribosomal RNA", at positions 28 to 507 of the family's 1533-position model. The record is from RNAcentral.